RNAcentral lists this transfer RNA (76 nucleotides) under Firmicutes bacterium HGW-Firmicutes-12. Its description in RNAcentral is "tRNA-Lys". It matches the Rfam family "tRNA". From Rfam's summary of the family: Transfer RNA (tRNA) molecules are approximately 80 nucleotides in length. Their secondary structure includes four short double-helical elements and three loops (D, anti-codon, and T loops). The record is from RNAcentral. Lineage: Bacteria; Bacillati; Bacillota.
GACUUGCUAGCUCAAUUGGUAGAGCAACUGACUCUUAAUCAGUAGGUUCAGGGUUCGAUUCCCUGGCGGGUCACCA